RNAcentral lists this ribosomal RNA (253 nucleotides) under uncultured bacterium. RNAcentral describes it as "partial 16S ribosomal RNA". It matches the Rfam family "Bacterial small subunit ribosomal RNA", at positions 524 to 776 of the family's 1533-position model. The record is from RNAcentral.
UACAGAGGGGGCAAGCGUUGUUCGGAAUUACUGGGCGUAAAGGGCGCGUAGGCGGCCUUCUAAGUCGAACGUGAAAUCCCCGGGCUCAACCCGGGAACUGCGUCCGAUACUGGAAGGCUUGAAUCCGGGAGAGGGAUGCGGAAUUCCAGGUGUAGCGGUGAAAUGCGUAGAUAUCUGGAGGAACACCGGUGGCGAAGGCGGCAUCCUGGACCGGCAUUGACGCUGAGGCGCGAAAGCCAGGAGAGCAAACGGG